UUGGAGGGCAAGUCUGGUGCCAGCAGCCGCGGUAAUUCCAGCUCCAAUAGCGUAUAUUAAAGUUGCUGCAGUUAAAAAGCUCGUAGUUGAAUUUCGGGACCAUCAUGUCGGUCGUGCCUCGGUACGUACUGGUAUUGUUGGUUUCCCCCUUCUGACGAACCAUGAUGUCAUUUAUUUGGUGUUGUGGGAAAUCAGGACUGUUACUUUGAAAAAAUUAGAGUGUUUAAAGCAGGCUCACGCUUGAAUACAUUAGCAUGGAAUAAUGAAAUAGGACGUUCGAUUCUAUUUUGUUGGUUUCUGGGAUCGACGUAAUGAUUAAUAGGGAUAGUUGGGGGCAUUAGUAUUCAAUUGUCAGAGGUGAAAUUCUUGGAUUUAUUGAAGACUAACUACUGCGAAAGCAUUUGCCAAGGAUGUUUUCAUUAAUCAAGAACGAAAGUUAGGGGAUCGAAGACGAUCAGAUACCGUCGUAGUCUUAACCAUAAACUAUGCCGACUAGGGAUCGGAUGAUGUUAAUUUUUUAAUGACUCAUUCGGCGCCUUACGGGAAACCAAAGUGUUUGGGUUC
This 564-nucleotide ribosomal RNA is filed under the name uncultured Glomeromycotina. Its description in RNAcentral is "SSU rRNA". It matches the Rfam family "Eukaryotic small subunit ribosomal RNA", at positions 548 to 1114 of the family's 1831-position model. Lineage: Eukaryota; Fungi; Glomeromycota. The record is from RNAcentral.